AACCAAACUCUUUCUGUAGUCCCCUCGCGGACGUAUUUCUUACAGCUCUGAGCAAAAAUUCAAAAUGAAUCAAAACUUUCAACAACGGAUCUCUUGGUUCUGGCAUCGAUGAAGAACGCAGCGAAAUGCGAUAAGUAAUGUGAAUUGCAGAAUUCAGUGAAUCAUCGAAUCUUUGAACGCACAUUGCGCCCGCCAGUAUUCUGGCGGGCAUGCCUGUCCGAGCGUCAUUUCAACCCUCGAACCCCUCCGGGGGAUCGGCGUUGGGGAUCGGGACCCCUCACCGGGUGCCGGCCCUGAAAUACAGUGGCGGUCUCGCCGCAGCCUCUCCUGCGCAGUAGUUUGCACAACUCGCACCGGGAGCGCGGCGCGUCCACGUCCGUAAAACACCCAACUUCUGAAAUGUUGACCUCGGAUCAGGUAGGAAUACCCGCUGAACUUAAGCAUAUCAAUAAGCGGAGGGAAAAAAAACCAACCCAUC
This 478-nucleotide ribosomal RNA is filed under the name Trichoderma hamatum. RNAcentral's name for it is "eukaryotic LSU rRNA". The stretch from base 74 to 227 matches the Rfam family "5.8S ribosomal RNA". The record is from RNAcentral. Lineage: Eukaryota; Fungi; Ascomycota; Sordariomycetes; Hypocreales; Hypocreaceae.